This 16-nucleotide small RNA is filed under the name Arabidopsis thaliana (thale cress). RNAcentral describes it as "ATSL030280". Lineage: Eukaryota; Viridiplantae; Streptophyta; Magnoliopsida; Brassicales; Brassicaceae. The record is from RNAcentral.
AAAAAGAAGCAAAACA